CUCCCUGGACUUUCCCUAGGUUCCGUGGUUCCCUGUUCUGUGGUCUCACUCUUCCCCUUCUCUUCCUUCUAACUCUGAGGUUAUGCAUUCACUUAACCUUGCCUCUGGU
Molecule: unclassified non-coding RNA, 109 nt
Organism: Cricetulus griseus (Chinese hamster)
Lineage: Eukaryota; Metazoa; Chordata; Mammalia; Rodentia; Cricetidae
Product: predicted gene, 27505
Source: Ensembl